This 497-nucleotide ribosomal RNA is filed under the name uncultured bacterium. RNAcentral's name for it is "partial 16S ribosomal RNA". It matches the Rfam family "Bacterial small subunit ribosomal RNA", at positions 28 to 507 of the family's 1533-position model. The record is from RNAcentral.
GAUGAACGCUGGCGGCGUGCCUAAUACAUGCAAGUCGAGCGAACGGACGAGAAGCUUGCUUCUCUGAUGUUAGCGGCGGACGGGUGAGUAACACGUGGAUAACCUACCUAUAAGACUGGGAUAACUUCGGGAAACCGGAGCUAAUACCGGAUGAUAUUUUGAACCGCAUGGUUCAAAAGUGAAAGACGGUCUUGCUGUCACUUAUAGAUGGAUCCGCGCUGCAUUAGCUAGUUGGUAAUGUAACGGCUUACCAAGGCAACGAUGCAUAGCCGACCUGAGAGGAUGAUCGGCCACACUGGAACUGAGACACGGUCCAGACUCCUACGGGAGGCAGCAGUAGGGAAUCUUCCGCAAUGGGCGAAAGCCUGACGGAGCAACGCCGCGUGAGUGAUGAAGGUCUUCGGAUCGUAAAACUCUGUUAUUAGGGAAGAACAUAUGUGUAAGUAACUGUGCACAUCUUGACGGUACCUAAUCAGAAAGCCACGGCUAACUACGUG